Molecule: long non-coding RNA, 549 nt
Filed under: Sarcophilus harrisii (Tasmanian devil)
Lineage: Eukaryota; Metazoa; Chordata; Mammalia; Dasyuromorphia; Dasyuridae
Description: lncRNA (ENSSHAG00000027178.1)
Source: RNAcentral
UUGGAAUCGGUCCCAGGCCUACUGAUAUCCUGUGCUUCCUGGAAUCUGACUUGGCUGAUUGGCUCCAAGCCUGUUCCUUGCUUGCGCUUCUUAACCUCAUUCCCUUCCAAUGGUGAGCUAUCAAGGCUUGGAUUUAGUGAAUGCUCCUAUAUCUCAGCCAUGUCUUUGUCCUGUCAAUAUCCAGGAGUUCUUAAGCUGGUGUCCAUGGACCUCCAAGAGAAGGAAGCAUUAGUAGCUGGGGAGAUGAGGAAGAGACAAAUACACAAAUAAAGCUGUGCCUUGAAGAAUCUUAACUGCUGAAUGUAUCUCCUGAGUAUUUUCUCUGCUAGAACCUAUGGCUUCUCCUAAGAGGUAGAGCUGGAUUCUUCCCCCUGCUGCUGGCUCCCAUCUCAAGUUCUUGCAUCUUUGAAAGGUCACUGGGCUAUGCCUGAUCAUUCUCUGUCCAUUGAAGAUGUUCUUUUAUCUCUCCCUCUUAAUUUCCUGGCUUCCAAGGUCCCAGCUAAAACCUGAUUUUCUACAGCAGUGGUAAAACAAGGACUAAUAAACUGU